GCUUCCUACGGCCUUAAGAAGUGGGGAAUUUUGGACAAUGGGGGCAACCCUGAUCCAGCAAUGCCGCGUGUGUGAAGAAGGCCUUCGGGUUGUAAAGCACUUUUGUCCGGAAAGAAAUCCGCCGAGCUAAUACCUUGGCGGGAUGACGGUACCGGAAGAAUAAGCACCGGCUAACUACGUGCCAGCAGCCGCGGUAAUACGUAGGGUGCAAGCGUUAAUCGGAAUUACUGGGCGUAAAGCGUGCGCAGGCGGUUGUGCAAGACAGAUGUGAAAUCCCCGGGCUUAACCUGGGAACUGCAUUUGUGACUGCACGGCUAGAGUGUGUCAGAGGGGGGUAGAAUUCCACGUGUAGCAGUGAAAUGCGUAGAUAUGUGGAGGAAUACCGAUGGCGAAGGCAGCCCCCUGGGAUAACACUGACGCUCAUGCACGAAAGCGUGGGGAGCAAACAGGAUUAGAUACCCUGGUAGUCCACGCCCUAAACGAUGUCAACUAGUUGUCGGGUCUUAAUUGACUUGGUAACGCAGCUAACGCGUGAAGUUGACCGCCUGGGGAGUACGGUCGCAAGAUUAAAACUCAAAGGAAUUGACGGAAGC
This 593-nucleotide ribosomal RNA is filed under the name uncultured bacterium. RNAcentral's name for it is "bacterial SSU rRNA". It matches the Rfam family "Bacterial small subunit ribosomal RNA", at positions 334 to 920 of the family's 1533-position model. The record is from RNAcentral.